GACGAACGCUGGCGGCGUGCUUAACACAUGCAAGUCGAACGGAAAGGCCCUGCUUUUGUGGGGUGCUCGAGUGGCGAACGGGUGAGUAACACGUGAGUAACCUGCCCUUGACUUUGGGAUAACUUCAGGAAACUGGGGCUAAUACCGGAUAGGAGCUCCUGCUGCAUGGUGGGGGUUGGAAAGUUUCGGCGGUUGGGGAUGGACUCGCGGCUAAUCAGCUUGUUGGUGGGGUAGUGGCUUACCAAGGCUUUGACGGGUAGCCGGCCUGAGAGGGUGACCGGCCACAUUGGGACUGAGAGACGGCCCAGACUCCUACGGGAGGCAGCAGUGGGGAAUAUUGCACAAUGGGCGGAAGCCUGAUGCAGCAACGCCGCGUGCGGGAUGACGGCCUUCGGGUUGUAAACCGCUUUCGCCUGUGACGAAGCGUGAGUGACGGUAAUGGGUAAAGAAGCACCGGCUAACUACGUG
RNAcentral lists this ribosomal RNA (468 nucleotides) under uncultured bacterium. RNAcentral's name for it is "partial 16S ribosomal RNA". It matches the Rfam family "Bacterial small subunit ribosomal RNA", at positions 28 to 507 of the family's 1533-position model. The record is from RNAcentral.